UGGAGCUGCUGUUGGACAUGAGCUUCCUCUGGGCAUCAGGAACUGUCCAAGGAGGAAAAGGCAGUGAAAACUUUGGGAGAGAUUUCCUAGAUCAAAGCCCAUGAAUUCCUCUGAGCAUCUACCCUCAUCCCAAGUAUCUGCAGUCACACAUAUGUAGAUUCUGGACUGUAGAAGGCAGGCUUAGCAUGACUUUAAGAUGAUUUCUUCUGAAUUUUUUGAUUUAUUUUUCUACUGCCAGGUCUGACAGCUGUGUCACAGUGACACGGGGGGGGCAUCAUGGAACCAAACGAACCCUGAGACAUUUCAGAAUCCCAUGUGCGUUGGGUCUGUCUGAGCUGGAGUUCAUUUUCUCACUGCAGCCGUCACAGUGCUGUGCUUUGCAUUGGGAGCUAGCAAGGGGUUAAUCACACCAGUGCUUUGGCAACUGCUGAGCAGGGCUGGCACAGCAUCCGCAUUGUCAGCUUCCUCCCUUGAAUCAGGGGCAAGAUCAUGGGUGGGGAUACAGACAGGCCAGUUGAGCCAAAUUGACCAAAGGCUACAAAAGCUCAGGAAAGGAACAGGAAAGGAGGGAAAUCCAUUUUUUUACAAUACUUGCCUUCUGAACGGCCUCUCUGUGUGGUGAAGCCCUGCUUCCCGUGAAGUGGCCAGGCAUCGCUGCUGACGGGAAGUAGAGAAUAAAUCUUUUUAUUUUCCUCUUCACUUAUGCAUACACAAACUUUGGCUUUUGCUUUAGUAAAGUACCUGAUCUCAAGGUAGAAGUAAUUUUCCAUCUUAUUUUGUCUCUUCCUGUCUGGCUGGGAAGGGCAGCGAUAGAGCGGCUUGGUGGGCACCUGGCAUCCAGACAAGGUCAACCCACUGCAACAUUGCAGGGUCUCGUGGAACCAAAGGACUGCUGGGACACUGGGGGACUCACGGAAUCAAGUGGGCGUUGUGAUACUGCCCUGGAUCAUGGAAGUAAAUGUUCCCUGGGAAACUACAGAAAAACAGGGAAUUAAGGGACGUCAUUGGGAUGUACGAGACCUCAUGGAAUUAAACAAAUCCUGGGAUAUCUUUGGAACUUCAUGGAAUCAAAGGGGUAAAACAAAAGAAUUAAACCCAAUGACCAGAAA
Molecule: long non-coding RNA, 1109 nt
Organism: Neopelma chrysocephalum (saffron-crested tyrant-manakin)
Lineage: Eukaryota; Metazoa; Chordata; Aves; Passeriformes; Pipridae
Exons: 2
Source: RefSeq, a predicted model, not a curated record